AACGCACAUUGCGCCUCUCUCCGAGGGGCAUGCCUGUCUGAGCGUCAUUUAAACCAAUGGACCAGUUCCGUGUUGGGCCUCGCCUAAGGGCGUCGCCUCAAGGUUAUUAGUCUAAGAGCGGACGAGUUCCUUUUGGACAGACCGUUCGAUGGCAAUAUAUUUCUGAAUUGACCUCAGAUCAGGUAGGAAUACCGCCUGAACUUAA
This 205-nucleotide unclassified non-coding RNA is filed under the name uncultured fungus. RNAcentral's name for it is "partial contains 5.8S ribosomal RNA, internal transcribed spacer 2, and large subunit ribosomal RNA". Lineage: Eukaryota; Fungi. The record is from RNAcentral.